This 253-nucleotide ribosomal RNA is filed under the name uncultured bacterium. RNAcentral's name for it is "partial 16S ribosomal RNA". It matches the Rfam family "Bacterial small subunit ribosomal RNA", at positions 524 to 776 of the family's 1533-position model. The record is from RNAcentral.
GACAGAGGGUGCAAACGUUGUUCGGAAUUACUGGGCGUAAAGCGUGUGUAGGCGGCUCCGCAAGUCGGGUGUGAAAGCCCCGGGCUCAACCUGGGAAUUGCAUUCGAGACUGAAUAGCUAGGGUACGGUAGAGGGAAGUGGAAUUUCCGGUGUAGCGGUGAAAUGCGUAGAUAUCGGAAGGAACAUCAGUGGCGAAAGCGACUUCCUGGACCAGUACCGACGUUCAGGCACGAAAGCGUGGGGAGCAAACAGG